Molecule: ribosomal RNA, 446 nt
Filed under: Brachyspira pilosicoli
Lineage: Bacteria; Pseudomonadati; Spirochaetota; Spirochaetia; Brachyspirales; Brachyspiraceae
Description: bacterial SSU rRNA
Rfam family: Bacterial small subunit ribosomal RNA
Source: RNAcentral
UGGCGAUGCGUCUUAAGCAUGCAAGUCGAGCGGGCUUAUUCGGGCAACUGGAUAAGUUAGCGGCGAACUGGUGAGUAACACGUAGGUAAUCUGCCGUGAAGUGGGGGAUAACCCAUGGAAACAUGGACUAAUACCGCAUAUACUCUUGCUACAUAAGUAGAGUAGAGGAAAGUUUUUUCGCUUCACGAUGAGCCUGCGGCCUAUUAGCCUGUUGGUAGGGUAAUGGCCUACCAAAGCUACGAUAGGUAGCCGACCUGAGAGGGUGACCGGCCACAUUGGGACUGAGAUACGGCCCAGACUCCUACGGGAGGCAGCAGCUGAGAAUCUUCCACAAUGGACGAAAGUUGAUGACGACAUCGCGUGAGGGAUGAAGGCCUUCGGGUUGUAACCUCGGAAAUUAUCGAAGAAUGAGUGACAGUAGAUAAUGUAAGCCUCGGCUAAUACCC